CUUAAAUAUUAUAAACACCAAAAGAAGGCACAGCAAAGGCUAGAUAAAUAUCUUUCAAUAAUAAUCGACAGUAUGGACCAGGCCAAAAACUGGAAUCCCUCACUGGAUCCAGUCUUCAAAGCUCGACGGAGACUGUGAGCACUUCAUGAAAACACAUGUGACAGGCAUUUUAUCACAUGGGUUAGRCAUAGCGAUGUGUUUCAUCGACUAUCUUCGUUGGCCGCAAGAUGCGAAUGCUACUGUCAAUUUUUUGACCUCUUGUUUUCGACAAAUUAUGAAAACA
Exaiptasia diaphana is the source of this 283-nucleotide long non-coding RNA. RefSeq lists it as uncharacterized. Lineage: Eukaryota; Metazoa; Cnidaria; Anthozoa; Actiniaria; Aiptasiidae. The transcript is spliced from 2 exons. The record is from RefSeq and is a predicted model, not a curated record.